GACGAACGCUGGCGGCGUGCCUAAUACAUGCAAGUAGAACGCUGAAGCGAGGAGCUUGCUCUUCUUGGCUGAGUUGCGAACGGGUGAGUAACGCGUAGGUAACCUGCCUGGUAGCGGGGGAUAACUAUUGGAAACGAUAGCUAAUACCGCAUAAAAUUGAUUAUUGCAUGAUACUUAAUUGAAAGAUGCAACUGCAUCACUACCAGAUGGACCUGCGUUUUAUUAGCUAGUUGGUGAGGUAACGGCUCACCAAAGCGACGAUACAUAGCCGAACUGAGAGGGUGAUCGGCCACACUGGGAACGAGACACGGCCCAGAAUCCUACGGGAGGCAGCCGUAGGGGAUCUUCGGCAAUGGGGGGAACGCUGACCGGGCAACGCCGCGUGGGUGAAGAAGGUUCUCGGAUCGUAAAGCCCCGUUGUAAGGGAAGAAAGGGUGUGAGAGUGGAAAGUGCACACUGUGACGGUAUCUUAUCAGAAAGGGACGGCUAACUACGUG
RNAcentral lists this ribosomal RNA (497 nucleotides) under uncultured bacterium. RNAcentral's name for it is "partial 16S ribosomal RNA". It matches the Rfam family "Bacterial small subunit ribosomal RNA", at positions 28 to 507 of the family's 1533-position model. The record is from RNAcentral.